UACGGGGGGUGCGAGCGUUAAUCGGAAUAACUGGGCGUAAAGGGCACGCAGGCGGCCAUUUAAGUGAGGUGUGAAAUCCCCGGGCUUAACCUGGGAAUUGCAUUUCAUAUUGGGAGUCUAGAGUACUUUAGGGAGGGGUAGAAUUCCACGUGUAGCAGUGAAAUGCGUAGAGAUGUGGAGGAAUACCGAAGGCGAAGGCACCCCCUUGGGAAUGUACUGACGCUCAUGUGCGAAAGCGUGGGGAGCAAACGGG
RNAcentral lists this ribosomal RNA (253 nucleotides) under uncultured bacterium. Its description in RNAcentral is "partial 16S ribosomal RNA". It matches the Rfam family "Bacterial small subunit ribosomal RNA", at positions 524 to 776 of the family's 1533-position model. The record is from RNAcentral.